This 494-nucleotide ribosomal RNA is filed under the name uncultured bacterium. Its description in RNAcentral is "bacterial SSU rRNA". It matches the Rfam family "Bacterial small subunit ribosomal RNA", at positions 29 to 518 of the family's 1533-position model. The record is from RNAcentral.
AUGAACGCUAGCGACAGGCCUAACACAUGCAAGUCGAGGGGCAGCACAAGGAGCAAUCUGAGGUGGCGACCGGCGCACGGGUGAGUAACACGUAUGCAACCUGCCUGUAAGCGGGGAAUAACCCGUUGGAAGACGGACUAAUACCGCAUAAUACUAAAUUACUGCAUGGUAAUUUAUUUAAACAUUUAUGGCUUACAGAUGGGCAUGCGCAUGAUUAGCUAGUUGGAGAGGUAACGGCUCCCCAAGGCAACGAUCAUUAGGGGUUCUGAGAGGAAGGUCCCCCACACUGGUACUGAGACACGGACCAGACUCCUACGGGAGGCAGCAGUGAGGAAUAUUGGUCAAUGGACGAGAGUCUGAACCAGCCAAGUCGCGUGCGGGAAGAAUGUCCUAUGGAUUGUAAACUGCUUUUGCAGGGGAAUAAAGUGCAUCACGUGCGAUGUUUUGUAUGUACUCUGCGAAUAAGGAUCGGCUAACUCCGUGCCAGCAGCUGC